RNAcentral lists this transfer RNA (87 nucleotides) under Gammaproteobacteria bacterium. Its description in RNAcentral is "tRNA-Leu". It matches the Rfam family "tRNA". From Rfam's summary of the family: Transfer RNA (tRNA) molecules are approximately 80 nucleotides in length. Their secondary structure includes four short double-helical elements and three loops (D, anti-codon, and T loops). Further hydrogen bonds mediate the characteristic L-shaped molecular structure. tRNAs have two regions of fundamental functional importance: the anti-codon, which is responsible for specific mRNA codon recognition, and the 3' end, to which the tRNAs corresponding amino acid is attached (by aminoacyl-tRNA synthetases). tRNAs cope with the degeneracy of the genetic code in two manners: having more than one tRNA (with a specific anti-codon) for a particular amino acid; and 'wobble' base-pairing, i.e. permitting non-standard base-pairing at the 3rd anti-codon position. Lineage: Bacteria; Pseudomonadati; Pseudomonadota; Gammaproteobacteria. The record is from RNAcentral.
GCCGGGGUGGCGGAACUGGUAGACGCGCUGGACUCAAAAUCCAGUGAGGUUAAACUCGUGCGAGUUCGAUUCUCGCCCCCGGCACCA